RNAcentral lists this ribosomal RNA (994 nucleotides) under uncultured bacterium. RNAcentral's name for it is "partial 16S ribosomal RNA". It matches the Rfam family "Bacterial small subunit ribosomal RNA", at positions 61 to 1052 of the family's 1533-position model. The record is from RNAcentral.
GUCGAGCGGUACAGAGAGUAGCUUGCUACUUUGCUGACGAGCGGCGGACGGGUGAGUAAUGCUUGGGAACAUGCCUUGAGGUGGGGGACAACAGUUGGAAACGACUGCUAAUACCGCAUAAUGUCUACGGACCAAAGGGGGCUUCGGCUCUCGCCUUUAGAUUGGCCCAAGUGGGAUUAGCUAGUUGGUGAGGUAAUGGCUCACCAAGGCGACGAUCCCUAGCUGGUUUGAGAGGAUGAUCAGCCACACUGGGACUGAGACACGGCCCAGACUCCUACGGGAGGCAGCAGUGGGGAAUAUUGGACAAUGGGCGCAAGCCUGAUCCAGCCAUGCCGCGUGUGUGAAGAAGGCCUUAGGGUUGUAAAGCACUUUCAGGGGUGAGGAAGGGUAAUGGAUUAAUACUUCAUUACUUUGACGUUAGCCCCAGAAGAAGCACCGGCUAACUCUGUGCCAGCAGCCGCGGUAAUACAGAGGGUGCAAGCGUUAAUCGGAAUUACUGGGCGUAAAGCGCACGCAGGCGGUUUGUUAAGCGAGAUGUGAAAGCCCCGGGCUCAACCUGGGAACUGCAUUUCGAACUGGCAAACUAGAGUGUGAUAGAGGGUGGUAGAAUUUCAGGUGUAGCGGUGAAAUGCGUAGAGAUCUGAAGGAAUACCGAUGGCGAAGGCAGCCACCUGGGUCAACACUGACGCUCAUGUACGAAAGCGUGGGGAGCAAACGGGAUUAGAUACCCCGGUAGUCCACGCCGUAAACGAUGUCUACUAGAAGCUCGGAGCCUCGGUUCUGUUUUUCAAAGCUAACGCAUUAAGUAGACCGCCUGGGGAGUACGGCCGCAAGGUUAAAACUCAAAUGAAUUGACGGGGGCCCGCACAANNNNNNNAGCAUGCGGUUUAAUUCGAUGCAACGCGAAGAACCUUACCUACACUUGANNNNNAGANNNCUUACCAGAGAUGGUUUGGUGCCUUNNGGAACUNNNNNNNNNNUGCUGCAUGGCUGU